UCUUAUUUCUUUUCUAGAUGAGGAACAUUUUGACACUCGUUCGGCUUCCCAGUGUUACCUCACUUAAAGCGGUACUGUCCAUUGUGAUACUGUGAUAAAUGAAGAAUCAUCCUUCUAACAUAUUUAAGGACACUACGACACGCCAAGUGUAACCGUAAUGCCUGACUCGAGCCAAGUCCCUUGAUCAGCGUCUCUGGAAGUGACCUGAACUUGAACUUUAAACGCACCCACCAGAGAAUCAGUUAACCUUGCCUGCCAUUCCAGGACACGCCUCGUCUAGGGAGGUUAUCAGGUAACAUAAUUAGAUAGACAUUUCAUCUAUCCAAUCAAAAUCCUGGAUGUCUGGAUCGGUCCUCCCUAAGGGAGUUGUCAGAAAGUGAAAGCCCGCCUUUCAGGAGCUGCCAGAAUGUACGGAGGCUGAAAGCCGAGGCCCAAUCUGAAAAAUCCUUGCUCAGCUACGAGACGUCAAGGACAGCCACAAUGCGAGUUGAGGAGCUCCAGAAAUAUAAAAAGUUACACAGACUGGAGGCAUAAACUGCUGGGAUUGAUCCCAUUUAUAAAAUUCCACAAGUCCAGAUUGGAUGACCGGAAGUUCCAAUGACGUCACUUCUGGGUCACAGUUUCCUGGCCCCAACCCUUAUUGGCUGGCUCCUCUUUAAGGGGCACCACCACCACUUUGUGUCAGUCGUAAUUUUGUCUACAGUCUGAAAAGACCUCAUUUGAUUAUCAACUG
This is a long non-coding RNA of Polypterus senegalus (gray bichir), 733 nucleotides long. RefSeq lists it as uncharacterized. Lineage: Eukaryota; Metazoa; Chordata; Cladistia; Polypteriformes; Polypteridae. The record is from RefSeq and is a predicted model, not a curated record. The transcript is spliced from 3 exons.